CAGGACGAACGCUGGCGGCGUGCCUAACACAUGCAAGUCGAGCGGAGUUAACAAGGGGAAGUUUCGGAUGGAAUUUGUUAAUUAGCGGCGGACGGGUGAGUAACGCGUGAGCGACCAACCUUGCACAGGGGGAUAACGGACCGAAAGGUUCACUAAUACCGCAUGAGACCACGGUGUUGCAUGACACAGAGGUCAAAGGAGCAAUCCGGUGCAAGACGGGCUCGCGUCCGAUUAGGUAGUUGGUGGGGUAAUGGCCCACCAAGCCUAUGAUCGGUAGCCGACCUGAGAGGGUGAUCGGCCACAUUGGAACUGAGAUACGGUCCAAACUCCUACGGGAGGCAGCAGUGGGGAAUAUUGGGCAAUGGGGGGAAAAACCCCUGACCCAGCAACGCCGCGUGAAGGAAGAAGGUUUUCGGAUUGUAAACUUCUGUCCUUGGUGAAGAGAAGAAGACGGUAGCCAAGGAGGAAGCCCCGGCUAACUACGUGCCAGCAGCCGC
This 497-nucleotide ribosomal RNA is filed under the name uncultured bacterium. RNAcentral describes it as "bacterial SSU rRNA". It matches the Rfam family "Bacterial small subunit ribosomal RNA", at positions 25 to 518 of the family's 1533-position model. The record is from RNAcentral.